UGGGGAAUAUUGGACAAUGGGGGGAACCCUGAUCCAGCCAUGCCGCGUGUGUGAAGAAGGCCUUAUGGUUGUAAAGCACUUUAAGCGAGGAGGAGGGUACUGGUAUUAAUACUACCAGCUACUGGACGUUACUCGCAGAAUAAGCACCGGCUAACUCUGUGCCAGCAGCCGCGGUAAUACAGAGGGUGCGAGCGUUAAUCGGAUUUACUGGGCGUAAAGCGUGCGUAGGCGGCUAAUUGAGUCGGAUGUGAAAUCCCCGAGCUUAACUUGGGAAUUGCAUUCGAUACUGGGUAGCUAGAGUGUGGGAGAGGAUGGUAGAAUUCCAGGUGUAGCGGUGAAAUGCGUAGAGAUCUGGAGGAAUACCGAUGGCGAAGGCAGCCAUCUGGCCUAACACUGACGCUGAGGUACGAAAGCAUGGGGAGCAAACAGG
Molecule: ribosomal RNA, 430 nt
Filed under: Pseudomonadota bacterium
Lineage: Bacteria; Pseudomonadati; Pseudomonadota
Description: Proteobacteria bacterium partial 16S ribosomal RNA
Rfam family: Bacterial small subunit ribosomal RNA
Source: RNAcentral